RNAcentral lists this ribosomal RNA (629 nucleotides) under uncultured archaeon. Its description in RNAcentral is "bacterial SSU rRNA". It matches the Rfam family "Archaeal small subunit ribosomal RNA", at positions 23 to 637 of the family's 1478-position model. The record is from RNAcentral.
CCGACUGCUAUUUGGGUGAGAAUAAGCCAUGCGAGUUGAAUGGAAUCCCUAAAUUUUCCAUAGCAAACUGCUCAGUAACACAUGAUCAACUUGCCCUAUAGAGAAAAAUAACCUCGGGAAACUGAGGAUAAUAUUUCAUAGUUGAAAAGGCUUGGAAAAGUUUUUCAAUCAAAGGGAUAAGAAAAAUGGUUCUUAUCUGCUAUAGGAUAGGAUCGUGCUCGAUUAUGGUUGUUGGUGAGGUAAUGGCUCACCAAGCCGAUAAUCGAUAGGGGCCGUGAGAGCGGGAGCCCCGAGAUGGGUACUGAGACAACGACCCAGGUUCUACGGAACGCAGCAGGCGCGAAACCUCCGCAAUACACGAAAGUGUGACGGGGUUACCCAAAGUGUUCAAUUUUGAACUGUGGUAGGUGAGUAAUGUCCCCUACUAGAAAGGAGAGGGCAAGGCUGGUGCCAGCCGCCGCGGUAAAACCAGCUCUUCAAGUGGUCGGGAUAAUUAUUGGGCUUAAAGUGUCCGUAGCCGGUUUAGUAAGUUCCUGGUAAAAUCGGGUAGCUUAACUAUCUGUAUGCUAGGAAUACUGCUAUACUAGAGGGCGGGAGAGGUCUAAGGUACUACAGGGGUAGGGGUGAAA